UACGGGGGGGGCAAGCGUUGUCCGGAUUUAUUGGGUUUAAAGGGUGCGUAGGCGGUCCUAUAAGUCAGUGCUGAAAUAUCCCGGCUUAACCGGGAGGGUGGCAUUGAUACUGCAGGACUUGAGUGAAGUCGAGGUAGGCGGAAUUGACGGUGUAGCGGUGAAAUGCUUAGAUAUCGUCAAGAACACCGAUAGUGAAGACAGCUUACUAGACUUCAACUGACGCUGAGGCACGAAAGUGUGGGGAUCAAACAGG
Molecule: ribosomal RNA, 253 nt
Filed under: uncultured bacterium
Lineage: Bacteria
Description: partial 16S ribosomal RNA
Rfam family: Bacterial small subunit ribosomal RNA
Source: RNAcentral